Camelina sativa (false flax) is the source of this 1057-nucleotide non-coding RNA. The record is from RefSeq and is a predicted model, not a curated record. Lineage: Eukaryota; Viridiplantae; Streptophyta; Magnoliopsida; Brassicales; Brassicaceae.
UCUUUGCUGGAGGUAUAACCCUAUCUCCCUAAGCAAUCAGAAAGGGAAACGACAAGUGGAGUCAAAAGCCAGAUUGAAUUGUCUGCUUUAGGAGUUAGGAAGAGAUGAUUUUAAAAACCUACAAUUUUGACCGUAUUGUCUUUGUCGAUACGAAUGAUCAAAGGUUGGCCAUCUACGCCAGUAAUUUGCUGUUGUUCAGGGGCAGUAAGUUUCUGCGUUUCCCUCUCAUCAGACGAUAAUGAAACAUUCCUGAGAAACAUGGGGUACGACACAAACUUAAAGAAACAGGGGGGAGAAGAUCACAUUGUUGCAGUAGUGAAAAGCCAUGAUUAAGGUCUCUCAUGAUCAUAAUCCUAGGCUGAAGAAGAACAGAAGACAUGAACACAACUUACAAGAAGCGAAUAUAAUGCAUAUAGAGAACAAGAAGGAUUUGAUUACGGUGGAUAUUGCAAGAGAUUCUGCUCUGAAGGCACGGAGAACGUAAUAGUAAGCAUUUCGCUGGAGUAUGAUGAGUUUUUUUUUCUUGUCCAUGGAGCCGAACAGGAUUGUAUCGUCGUCAAAGCUAUAGCUCGGGAUAGUCUCUGUAAGACCUCUCUUCUUAAUCGGUAGGUCAGUUGAUUCUUCAGCCGCGGUUCAAGAAGAUCACAAGAAAAUUCACCAUCGAUCAGUCUAAUUGCAUCAAUGGGAGAAAAGAGAAAACAGAGGAGUCCCGAAACUCUAGAACCCAUGAGAAAGAUACGAAGAGAAAGAGAGAGAGAGACUUACGAGAUGGAGAGCUUGGGGCUUGAUCUUUCUGGUCCGCCAUUGUUGAGAACAGAGGAAUCGGAGCGAAGAGUCUUGUAACUUGUUGACGAGGUUUGUGCGCCUUUGAGAAAAAACCCUAGAAAUCGGAGUGAAGCAAGGAUCUUCAACAACGUUGCAUGAGAGAGAAGAAGUAACGAGAUUUUGGAUUCUCUCUUUAUGUGUUUUAUAUGCUUUUAGAGUUUUUAUACUGUAACUAACUAUACUUCGUUCCUUGAUCACUUUGACUUAAUUGGGAUUAAGUAUUGACACGUCA